GAUGAACGCUGGCGGCGUGCUUAAUACAUGCAAGUCGAGCGAACAGACGCGGCUUUUGUUGGUUUGACGUGUGGGGCGGACGUGUGAGACACGUGUGGAUACUCUACUUGUCUUUCUGGGAUCUCCUCGGGACUGCGGAGAUUAUCGGGGAUAAUAUACUGCUGCGCGUGGUGGGUUGGUGAAAGUCGGCGUUUGUGGCUGGAUUCGAGGGUUAUCAGCUUGUUUGGGGGGUUGUGGCUUACCAAGGCUUUGACGGGUAGCCGGCCUGAGCGGGUGAGCGGCCACAUUGGGACUGAGAUAAGGCACAGACUCCUACGGGAGCCAGCAGUGGGGAAUAUUGACCAAUGGGCGGAACGCUGAUGCAGAAACGCCGCGUGCGGGAUGACGGCCUUAGGGUUGUAAACCGAUUUUGCCUGUGACGAAGCGUGAGUGAAGGUAAUGGGUAAAGAAGCCCAGGCUAACUACGUG
Molecule: ribosomal RNA, 468 nt
Filed under: uncultured bacterium
Lineage: Bacteria
Description: partial 16S ribosomal RNA
Rfam family: Bacterial small subunit ribosomal RNA
Source: RNAcentral